This is a long non-coding RNA of Oncorhynchus tshawytscha (Chinook salmon), 811 nucleotides long. NCBI's taxonomy places the organism in Eukaryota, Metazoa, Chordata, Actinopteri, Salmoniformes, Salmonidae. The record is from Ensembl.
GGGGUCUCCAAGGAGAACAGGGGGUUGAAAGAGGGGGUCUCCAGGGAGAACAGGGGGUUGAAAGGAAGUGCGUCUUAGUCACCAGAUCUCAACCCAAUUGAACACUUCCGGGAGAUUCUGGAGUGGCCUCUUGAGACAGCGUUUUCCACCACCAUCAACAAAACACCAAAUGGUGGAAUUUCCCGUGGAAGAAUGGUGUCGCAUCCCUCCAGUAGAGUUCCAGACACGUCUUGAAUCUAUACCAAGGAGCACUUUUAACAUUUUUUUUAAACCUUUAUUUAACUAGGCAAGUCAGUUAAGAACAAAUUCUUAUUUUCAAUGACAGCCUACCAGGGAACAGUGGCUUAACUGCCUUGUUCAGGGGCAGAAUUUGUACCUUGUCAGCUCAGGGAUUAGAACUUGCAACCUUCCAGUUACUAGUCCAACGCUCUAACCACUAGGCUACCCUGCCGCCCCUACACUCUAACCACUAGGCUACCCUGCCGCCCCUACACUCUAACCACUAGGCUACCCUGCCACCCCUACACCCUAACCACUAGGCUACCCUGCCGCCCCUACACUCUAACCACUAGGCUACCCUGCCGCCCCUACACUCUAACCACUAGGCUACCCUGCCGCCCCUACACUCUAACCACUAGGCUACCUGCCGCCCUUACACUCUAACCACUAGGCUACCUGCCGCCCUUACACUCUAACCACUAGGCUACCUGCCGCCCCUACACUCUAACCACUAGGCUACCCUGCCGCCCCUACACUCUAACCACUAGGCUACCUGCCGCCCCUACACUCUAACCACUAGGCUACCUGCCGC